This 2823-nucleotide ribosomal RNA is filed under the name Triticum aestivum (bread wheat). RNAcentral's name for it is "partial small subunit ribosomal RNA". Lineage: Eukaryota; Viridiplantae; Streptophyta; Magnoliopsida; Poales; Poaceae. The record is from RNAcentral.
AUGGAGCCUGUGGUGAGCUCUACGCAUGGCACCUUGGCUCCAUUGGUGGCCAAGCUCACCGCCUUGCUCGCCGACGAGUGUGGCCGCCUGAAAGGGGUCCGCCGCGAGAUCCGCUCCCUGAGAUCUGAGCUGACUAGCAUGCAUGCUGCGCUCAAAGAGUACACCAAGCAAGAAGAUCCAAGUGACCAAGUGAAGGCAUGGAUAUCACUAGUGAGGGAGUUGGCAUACGACAUCGAGGAUGUCUUUGACAAGUUCAUCAAGCGCAUCGGCAAAGACAACCAUCAUGGUGGCUUCAAGGAUUUCUUCCGCAAGACCGCUCGUCGCCUGAAGACGCUUGGGUCUCGGCGUGGAAUCGCCAACCAAAUUGAUGACCUCAAGGCUCGCAUCAGGCAAGUGAAAGAGCUCAAGAAUAGUUACAAGCUUGAUGAUGCUCCUUGCAGCACCUCUAGCCAUGCGGCCGUGGAUCCCCGGCUGCAUGCACUUUUUGCUGAGGAGGCGCACCUUGUGGGUGUGGAUGGUCCAAGAGAUGACCUUGCCAAUUGGUUAGUGAAAGAAGAAAAUUCCUCCAACAAGCAUCGCAGGGUGUUGUCUAUUGUUGGGUUUGGUGGAUUGGGAAAGACCACACUGGCAGAUCAAGUCUAUCGCAAGAUACAUGGACACUUUCAUUGUCGGGCUUUCGUGUCAGUCUCACAAAAGCCAGAUAUAAAGAAAAUUGUGAAGGAUGUGAUCUCUCAAGUAUCUUGCCAAGAUAAAUCCAAACAAGAUAUCAGUGAGUGGGACGAAAAGAAGUCUAUUGCAAAACUAAGAGAACUGCUACAAGAUAAGAGGUACCUUAUCAUCAUUGAUGAUAUAUGGUCUAAGCCGGCAUGGGAUGCUAUCAAAUGUGCUUUUCCAGAGAAUAGUCAUUCUAGCAGAAUUAUAGUUACUACACGAAUUGUUGAUGUAGCAAGGCUGUGUUCCCCUGGGAGUGAUGACCGCAUGUAUGAAAUGGAAGUCCUAAGUGAUAUUCACUCUAGAAGGUUGUUUUUCAAAAGAAUUUUUGGCUCUGAGGAAAGCUGCCCUCCUAUGCUAAAAGAAAUUUCAAAUGAAAUCCUGAAAAAAUGUGGAGGCCUACCAUUAGCAAUUAUCAGCAUAUCAAGUUUAUUGUCAAGCAGAACUGCUGUAAAAGAGGAGUGGGAGAAGAUCAAAAGGUCAAUUGGUUUUGCACUAGAGAAAAACCAGAGCCUAGAGACAAUGAGUACCAUACUAUCCCUUAGCUACAAUCAUCUUCCACCUAAUCUCAAGACUUGUCUGUUAUAUUUGAGCAUAUUUCCCGAGGACUACAUCAUAGAGAGAGAAAGGUUAGUGAGGCUAUGGAUCGCAGAAGGCUUUAUUUCUGAAGAGUGUGGACAGAGCCAACAAGAGGUCGCCGAGAGCUAUUUUUAUGAGCUUAUCAAUAAAAGCAUGGUCCAACCGGUGGGCAUUGGCUAUGAUGGUAAGGCACGUGCUUGUCGGGUUCAUGACAUGAUGCUAGAAAUUAUUGUUGCAAAAUCUGCUAAAGAUAAUUUUGUUACGGUGGUAGGCGGUGGUCAAACGAGUUUGGCAAAUCAUCAAGGUUUCAUUCGGCGACUGUCAGUGCAGUACAUUGACCAGGAGCUUGCAUCUGCAUUGGCGAGUGAAGAUCUAAGGCAUGUUCGAUCUCUAACAGUGACAAUAACUAGUGGCAUCGAACGCUUGCCUAGUCUGGUUGAAUUUGAAGCUUUACGAGUGGUGGACUUUGCAGAUUGUGAGGGCUUGGGGCAGUAUAUUAUGAAUGGCAUGGAGAAAUUGAUCCAGUUAAGGUACCUCAGACUUAGGGGCAGGGGCAUAUCAAAGCUACCAUCAGGGAUUGUGAUGCUAGGCGACCUAGAGACCCUAGAUAUUCAGUACACAGCUGUGCAAGAGUUGCCAGAUAAAAUUGUUCAGCUGACUAAACUACAACACCUAAUCACCGCCGGUGGCACAAAGAUACCAGAUGGAAUUGGGAAUAUGAUGAGCUUAAGGGUGGUCACAGGCUUUAAUAUUACCGGGAGUUCUACGCAUGCUGUGGAGGGUCUUAGGAACUUGACAAGUUUGGAUGAACUCAAUGUAGAUCUUGAUAGUGGAAAAUCUGAUGAGUACAAGAGCCAUGAAGAGAUGUUACUUUCCUCACUGCGUAAACUUGGCAGGUGCAAGCUCCAGUAUUUACAGAUAACUAGGAUCGAUGGUUCCCUCGAGUUCUUAGAAUCUUGGUUCCCUCUGCCAUAUUCCCUUCAGAAAUUCCACAUGUCCAGCAGCUACUGUUUUACGGAUGUUCCAAAGUGGAUUGCACCAGCACUCACCAGCCUUUCUUACCUGGAUAUCAAUUUAACUGAAUUAACAGAGGAGGGUCUGCACACUCUUGGGGAGCUCUCAGCCUUACUUUGCCUAAAACUAUGCUGGGAAAAAGACCCAGAAGAAAGGCUUACAAUUCAAGGCACUGGAUUCCCAUGUCUGAAGGAGUUUGUGCUAUCUGAUGGGGCAUACGUUACAUUCAUGGAAGGCGCGAUGCCCAAGCUUGAGAACCUUAGGCUGUCAGUCGCUGUGUCAGUGGCAAAAACUUGUGGCUUCUAUUUAGGCAUUGAGCAUCUCACAUGUCUCAAACAAGCAAGGAUAUGGCUUGAUAACGAAGAUGUGACAACUUCAGAAAGCAAGGCUGCAGCUGCUGCGGUCACUAAAGAAGCAGGUGCUCAUCCGAACCGUCCUAUAGUUACUAUUGAGGGAAGAUGGUAUGAAGAGGCCGCAGCCAGCCAUGAAGAAAAGAACAAUGAGGAUGGCGACAACUAG